GAGCUGCACUCUUCUGUGGAAGGAGCUCUCCGACCACUUUUCCUCCCUGGAGCGCGACCUCCAGCUUAAGUCCGAGUCCCUCCGUUCCAAGCGCCAGUCCCUCGACCUCUCCACCCAGCGCUCCCUCGCCUCCCUCCACCACCGCGAGCUCUCCAUCGAUGGCGCCGUGGACCUCGCCCUCGCCAAGGUCAACGAGCGCCGCGAUGCCGCCCUUCUCGCGCUCUCUUCCCCCGCCUCCCCCCUUGACAGUAAUAACGGCAACGAUCUCCCUGGCAAACUCCGAUCUUUCUGCACGACGAUGGACUCUGACGCCUUCUGGGAACUCGUCGUCUCCAAGCGCAAGGAGGUCGAGCUCCUCCGAUCGGAGCUUCCGCUGGCUCUCG
RNAcentral lists this long non-coding RNA (383 nucleotides) under Elaeis guineensis (African oil palm). RNAcentral's name for it is "long non-coding RNA (EGUI_LNC057410)". The record is from RNAcentral. Lineage: Eukaryota; Viridiplantae; Streptophyta; Magnoliopsida; Arecales; Arecaceae.